GCCGCUAUACCUCAGUGGCUAGAGCUUUGGUCCGUAAAACCAAAGGUCGCGACCUCGAAUCUCGUUGGCUGCA
Trichonephila inaurata madagascariensis is the source of this 73-nucleotide non-coding RNA. NCBI's taxonomy places the organism in Eukaryota, Metazoa, Arthropoda, Arachnida, Araneae, Nephilidae. The record is from the annotation of a GenBank genome assembly.